GAAAUUUACUCAAGCGCGACCUCUGUCUUUUUUUUUUUUUUAAUGACCUCUUUCUUUACACGUUGUUGUUUGUUAAUGAAGUGCAGCCUUAACUGUACAGACCAUUAGGUAUUUUAAGGUUUAAGCUGAAUAUUGUAUACAAGCAACUGACAUUUGUUUUGUCCCAGUGAUUACACAUUUAUUUAAUGAUUUUGAAAAUGUCAGCGUAGCAGGAAGGAAUGCAGAGGUCAUUUAAAGCUUAUUUGUGUUCAAAUUAUUUGAUAGAACCCCAGCCAUAUUUGACCCUCAGCACGCUGUAACUAGGGCCAUGAUCUCAUUUUGAUACUGUAGAUAAUUUGAAAGGCCCAGCCAGGAAUGUCGGAAUUUCAACCUAAUUAGUUGCAUCUUAUUUUGUGAUUUGUCCUGGGCGCCCUUGCUUGCAGGCUGAACUUUUUUUUUUUUUUUAACCUUUCUCAUCCUGUCACAUUUUAAAUGUCAUCAGACCAGUGUUUAUAUAAUUGGUUUUUCCUUUCGCUACCUUCCUCCACACGAGAACAUUUCUUCUGGGGCUCUGCUCCUUCGCCCUGGACAGUCACAAAAUCUCCUCUCAGAAACGUCCCUGGACUGUGUCCUCUGUAUCUUCUCUACCAGCAGCAAUGCUCCUGCCAGGUGUAAGAGAGAGCAAGGGGCAGACUCUAGACUCAGAACAGAAAAGUCGGUGCUGACAAGUGGGUAGCCUUGAACAGCAGGUGGAGAGCUUUGCGCGUGCUUGAGAGGCGUGGUCCAGAGCAGAGCAAAGGACCUGAGGAGAGGUGAAUACUGCUUCAUCCACGAGUUCCCAGAGUAACGGUUUUGGAAGCAAAGAAGUCAGAAUCCGAGCAGUGCUGUCUGUUGCCUCGUCGGUGUGAAGAACUGUGUCACGUACCCAUUGCUGUACACCAAACUGCCCUAAGCCUUAGUGGCGUCACACAAUGAAUUGUUACUUCUAGUCGAUUCUGUGGCUGGAUUGGGUCAUUCCUUCCUGUCUCACAUGGGUUGCUGUAAGUGACCUCCUUAUGUGUUUGGAGCGUCCACAGGGAUUCAUUCAUUCAUUCAUUUACACCUGCAUGCAUUCAUUCAUGCAUACAUUUGAAUCCUCUGCAAAGCCUGCAGUAGCAGCUGCGGGGAGCGUGUGAACAGCCAGAUUGGUUAGACAGCUUUUCUCAACUUAAGGUGCUACCAUGGACAGCUCUCCUUUUCUUCUGCGCUCUGCUGAAUAGGACCAACUUCUCUGGUUUCUUCCUUCCUUCCUUCUUUCCUCCCUUCCUUCCUUCAGCUACAUAUUUUUCUUCUUCUAAGGAAAACCUCUUUUUGUCCUUCCCACAUGAACCCGUGUUAAGGAGUUGUGUCUAAUAGAAUGCAAAA
Molecule: long non-coding RNA, 1383 nt
Organism: Hipposideros armiger (great roundleaf bat)
Lineage: Eukaryota; Metazoa; Chordata; Mammalia; Chiroptera; Hipposideridae
Exons: 4
Source: RefSeq, a predicted model, not a curated record